GACCACAGAAAAAGUAGCCAGCCCACCAUCCCUAGAUGAUUUUGCAGUCUUUGCACACCAGUGUGGCCAUAGGCUUGUUUUCUCCUGGACUGAGCCUGCAGAUCCUAUGAGCAAGCAUAUGUCCUGUGCUCCACUAGUCCUAGCUGGAUCGUGGACAUAUUACCAUCAUUACAAAUAUCAAUAGUUUGUGAUUACUUCAAACAAUCUGAAGUUGAAGGACCCCAGAUAUCCUUCAAAACAGGAAUCUGCAGGCAGAUGCUGAAACCAUGAAUACAGAGGGACAACUAUGUAAGCUCGUUAACGCUGACAUAGUUUUAUGAAUGCAAACAGCCAAGGAGAGCAGAUGUUGAGUGGUUGCCAGAGUGAAAUGAGGAAGCCCUGCUGCCAGCUUCCCACCAAAAAGCAGGCUCCGGCCCUGAACGCAGGAGAGUUGCUAAAGAAGUUGCUCACAGAGGCGGGAGAGAGCAGGCUACUGGUUUCCUUCAAAAUGGAAUAGGAAACAGAAAACGUGGUGAACAUCAUUUCUUCGCACUUGAAUCAGCAACAUGACACAGGACUUUGGCAUCAGCAACAGAAAGAACACCUCAAUCCCAGCAUUCUAAGCAAGAAUUGCAAGGCUCAGACACGUCAAUGCCCACUGCUAUAACUGACAAGGAAGUGGAAUGUCGUGUUUGGCUUCAACCAACGAGGGCUGGUUGGAGCUUUGAACUACUAUCACACCAAAAAAAGAGGCUUCACUUGGAGUGCUGCCACUGGAUGGGGCCUGACUUGUUUAUCCGGAAAGAAGUGACUUCCCUGGGAAGAAGGUUGCAUUUGUGAAAGCUUGUGCAGCAUUUCAAGGCUGCAUUCAGGGGCUCUGACCUCCAGUGUCAGCCUUCCAAGGAGAGAAUGGUAGUGUAAUCAUGACUGGAGAGCAACUGUUCCAGAUAAGAAUAUUUUGGCAGAUUUUAAAAGCAACUAUUACUGGUGUUGAUUGACUUAAAAAUAUUUUAAAAAUAUAACAUGUUAUAAACCUCUUCAAUAUCAAGAGGCAGGAUAUAA
Molecule: long non-coding RNA, 1041 nt
Organism: Homo sapiens (human)
Lineage: Eukaryota; Metazoa; Chordata; Mammalia; Primates; Hominidae
Product: long intergenic non-protein coding RNA 1491
Source: Ensembl